RNAcentral lists this ribosomal RNA (406 nucleotides) under uncultured bacterium. Its description in RNAcentral is "partial 16S ribosomal RNA". It matches the Rfam family "Bacterial small subunit ribosomal RNA", at positions 29 to 526 of the family's 1533-position model. The record is from RNAcentral.
AUUGAACGCUGGCGGCAGGCCUAACACAUGCAAGUCGCACGAGUGGCGGACGGGUGAGUAAUGUCUGGGAAACUGCCUGAUGGAGGGGGAUAACUACUGGCAACGGUAGCUAAUACCGCAUACCAUCAGAUGUGCCCAGAUGGGAUUAGCUUGUUGGUGGGGUAACGGCUCACCAAGGCGACGAUCCCUAGCUGGUCUGAGAGGAUGACCAGCCACACGGGAAGUGAGACACGGUCCAGACUCGUACGGGAGGCAGCAGGGGGGAAUAUUCAGCAAUGGGCGCAAGCCUGAUGCGGCAAUGCCGCGUGGAUGAAGGAGUCCUUGGGGUUGUAAAGGAGUUUGAGCGGGGAGGCGUUACCCGCAGAAGAAGCACCGGCUAACUCCGUGCCAGCCGCCGCGGUAAUUC